Molecule: ribosomal RNA, 253 nt
Filed under: uncultured bacterium
Lineage: Bacteria
Description: partial 16S ribosomal RNA
Rfam family: Bacterial small subunit ribosomal RNA
Source: RNAcentral
UACAGAGGGUGCGAGCGUUAAUCGGAAUCACUGGGCUUAAAGGGCGCGUAGGCGGGCUGUCAAGUCUGGGGUGAAAUGCCGCGGCUCAACCGUGGAACUGCCUUAGAUACUGACGGCCUCGAGGAAGGUAGGGGCAUGCGGAACUGUAGGUGGAGCGGUGAGAUGCGUUGAUAUCUACAGGAACUCCGGUGGCGAAAGCGGCGUGCUGGACCUUUUCUGACGCUGAGGCGCGAAAGCUAGGGGAGCAAACGGG